AAAUAGGAAAACUUUUUCAUGUUAUGUUGUCAUACCUAAAAACCGUUGUACUGAUUAAUGAAGUAAUAUGUUUAGCUAACUGAGUGUUUUGGGGGUUUGGUUCUAAGUCUCAAAAUGGUUCAUUAAAGGACCUUCAUUAGUGUGCUUUUGCUAAUAAAUUCAAGCUAUUCCACAUGGGACAAGAAGAAACAGUAUUUCAUACAACAAUGUUUACUACUCCCCUUGCAGAAGAGGGAAAACUGGCUCUAAGCAGAAUUCAAAAGAAGUGGGAAACACUGGUGCAUAACUGAUAACACAGGCUCUUCAGAGUCUCUAAUUUAAGACCUUGAGAAUCUGGCAAGUCUUGAACUGCUAGCUUUAUUAAAUAUGAACUGCAAAGCACCAUUUUCAGCAUUGAAGUGAAUCAGGAAUGUUUCUAUGUCUAAAACCAAACUGUGUCUACACUAAAUCAGUGGAGAUGUCCAGGGAGAAAUGGAUUAAUAUUGUUGUCCCUCAUUUGGCAGGUCUGUCAGAGAAACUCAGAAGCAUAACAGCCCAGUGUGCUUCAGAUCUAGCAACACAAGACAAGACAACACAAGUGUACAUUGUGCAGUGCGCUGAGGAGCAUUUGGACUUUUACACGGGCGAGACCAAAGAACCACACGUCACACGACGCAGUUAUACAUCUUCAAAGCAGAAAGGACACAGGAAUAAAGGAGGCUAUUUAUGUCCACACUGAAUGACCGCUAUUAGACUGCUGGUGUCCUAGAGCACCAGUCAUCAGUCACCUAUAACACAGUCUGGAGAUCCCUUUCCAGGUGAUUCAAUCCCCACUCACACCAUAACCCAUGUGACCUUAAUAAUUUCCAACAUGACAUGGUAGGACAAUGUCUCCAAAGGGAUUCACACCUUGGCCUCUGUGACAGUAAUGACCUACCUUGAUUCACACCUGGGCUCAUGUGACCCACAAUGACAAAGAUGGUGACUCUCAGGAUCUCUUCAAGAGACAAUCCCUCAAGGGGUAAAAUACCCAGGACUCUCCAUUAGUUUCUAGAACUAAAGAAGCCACUUGGAUGAGAAGUAAAAUGUCUUCACGAAGCAGAAAGAAGGGGGAAGCGAUCCAUGGAGGCCAAACGCCUCCAUGGGCCUUUCUUGGGCAAACGUGCCUGAAAGCCAAAACUCGGGGUUAGAAAAUCACAUGUGCUUUCUUUUUCCCUUGCACCUUCGCUUUCUGUGUAGGGCGGGGCGUGUGGCGCUCUCCGAGUUCCUCCGAUCUGUUCCGAUCUUCGCCGAUCUUCUACCCCGGUGGUAAGGUCGCUGUUUGUGCUGCGUGUUCUCCUCACAUCUGCACAGUCCGUCUCCGACCGAGCUCCCGUCAUGGUGGACAUAUUGGUGUUGAUGUUUUUCGCCGUUAUGGGCCUCGUCUUCCUCUCCUACAUCAUCUACAUGCUGUGAUAAAGAUGCGUCCUGGUCAGGCGGUGCUGGAGCCUAACGGAGGAUGUUUGUUUUUCCUCUCCUGCAUCCCCGGUUUACACCACAAACAGAGGGAGUAGAGCCACGGCCAGGCCAUGAUGGUUCCCUUUGGCGCUUUCAUGUGGGGAUGAAAGGAGCGAUCCAGGCAAGAGAGGAAAAACAAAUGGAGAAGUGGAAGCCAAACUGUUUUGCACACUGCAAUCAUUCCCCUCCUUCCUUCUUUGGAUCAGUCAGAUCUGACCAGGAUGCCCAAACAGAAAUUUUAACCCUCAUCAUCAUUUUCUGUGGUACUUCUGUGUCAGUAUUACUGUUUAGAGGAGUAGCGAUGUUACCUGCACAUAAGGAUCCAGGAUGGCAUUCAUAGAGGUGUAGAAUUUGCCUUUUUUUUUACGCUGUGAGAUUAUUUAUUUAUUUAUUUAUUUUUUAAGGAUGGGUUUGAUUUGAAGUGUUCAGUUUGACAGUAUUAUCCAGAUGUUUUAUCAGCUGUUUUUGCACAGGUUUGUGUUUCAGCAAUCAGUUGGAGAGCCUCAGACUUGUGAUGUCACUAUACUUUCCUUCUCACAGUAAUCAUCAUUGUCCACUAAAUUAAGAGGAAUGGAAAGGUAUUUGUUGCACUAUAUCAGUUGCUUUAAUGUCCUGAAGCUUUGCAACUACAUUGGUCUUUUUCUGUUUUUGUCCUUAUUAUUUUUGGCCACAGAUGACAUCCACAAAGAGAUGUUGUUUGUGUAUUUCUGAGUUUCAUAUUAUCUGUUAUAUUUAAAUAAUGUUCACUGAUGCACACACAAUUUUCUGAUAAUCGUGAAAUGUCAAAUAAAGAUGAUUCCAGUAAACCCAGCUGCCUUCUCUUUUGCUUGUUGGAAAGCAAAGCUGAAUUCAGCCUUUUUGGGCACUAAUGACUGUCACUGUCAGUUUUUAAGAAGAUGACAAACAUGUCAUGGUUCGAGCUUCUCAAAUAGAUGGAGGCUUUCCUGCUUAUUCUUAGGUGUAUUAAGUUUAAUACAUUUGCUCUUGGAGUGACAGACCAAAUCACUAUUUGUUGUUGUCCGCAGAUACUUUUAUUGAAAUUUAUAUUGCUUGAGUGGUUAAUAAGCAAAAGCAGGGCUGAGGUUGCACCAGACCACUAAAAGUGGAUUGUGUUGCCAUAUUGAUGUAACCACAGCUGGAAAUUACAGUAAAGAAUAAUCCUGGGGGGAAAAAAUAAGAACUCUUGUCCUCCACAAUUCAAUAUUAAAAAGGUCUCCAAACAAGAGCUGAAUCUAAGUGCACAGGCUUUAAAACAUGCUGCAAACCACUGGUUAAAGUCCAGAACAAUAAGGUCAGGUUAAACUUUAGCAGAAAACCUUUAAAUGAGCCCACAGAGUUCUGAAAAAGAAUUCCUUAAUCCAAGCAGGUACCAGAUUGAAGAGCAAUGUGUGGCUCAUGAACACAGCAGCGUACGCUUUCUGGUCACUCAAGACACGACUGAAUAUAGAGAGAACAUGUUUCAUCCCUCUGAAAAUGGGGGGUUAUGUACAAAGCUCUCUAUAAUUUUUAAUUAAUACAAAACUUCUAUCAAACUCAUUGAAUUAAACCUGAAAGUCUGCUCUUCAAGUACAUGUUGAUAGAUUUAAAAUCCACCGUGGGAGGUAUCCAAAGGCAAAAUUACAAAAAAUAAAAUAGACCUAAUUGUACAUUAUGCUUUUAUUUUGAAAUUUCCUAGACAAUAUACUUCACAAUUUUGUAUUUUUUCAGUCUGAUAUGGUUAUUUCUCUAAAUAAAAGGCAUAUUUCAC
Oreochromis aureus is the source of this 3223-nucleotide long non-coding RNA. The record is from Ensembl. NCBI's taxonomy places the organism in Eukaryota, Metazoa, Chordata, Actinopteri, Cichliformes, Cichlidae.